This 466-nucleotide ribosomal RNA is filed under the name uncultured bacterium. Its description in RNAcentral is "partial 16S ribosomal RNA". It matches the Rfam family "Bacterial small subunit ribosomal RNA", at positions 28 to 507 of the family's 1533-position model. The record is from RNAcentral.
GAUGAACGCUGGCGGCGUGCUUAACACAUGCAAGUCGAACGAUGAAGCCCAGCUUGCUGGGUGGAUUAGUGGCGAACGGGUGAGUAACACGUGAGUAACCUGCCCUUAACUCUGGGAUAAGCCUGGGAAACUGGGUCUAAUACCGGAUAGGAGCGUCCACCGCAUGGUGGGUGUUGGAAAGAUUUAUCGGUUUUGGAUGGACUCGCGGCCUAUCAGCUUGUUGGUGAGGUAAUGGCUCACCAAGGCGACGACGGGUAGCCGGCCUGAGAGGGUGACCGGCCACACUGGGACUGAGACACGGCCCAGACUCCUACGGGAGGCAGCAGUGGGGAAUAUUGCACAAUGGGCGCAAGCCUGAUGCAGCGACGCCGCGUGAGGGAUGACGGCCUUCGGGUUGUAAACCUCUCUCAGUAGGGAAGAAGCGAAAGUGACGGUACCUGCAGAAGAAGCACCGGCUAACUACGUG